RNAcentral lists this ribosomal RNA (253 nucleotides) under uncultured bacterium. RNAcentral's name for it is "partial 16S ribosomal RNA". It matches the Rfam family "Bacterial small subunit ribosomal RNA", at positions 524 to 776 of the family's 1533-position model. The record is from RNAcentral.
UACGAAGGGGGCUAGCGUUGUUCGGAAUUAUUGGGCGUAAAGGGCGCGUAGGCGGCCGACCAAGUCGGGUGUGAAAUCCCUCGGCUCAACCGAGGAACUGCACUCGAUACUGGCCGGCUUGAGUCCGGGAGGGGAUGGUGGAAUUCCCAGUGUAGCGGUGAAAUGCGUAGAUAUUGGGAAGAACACCAGUGGCGAAGGCGACUACCUGGCCUGUUCUUGACGCUGAGGCGCGAAAGCUAGGGGAGCAAACGGG